RNAcentral lists this long non-coding RNA (888 nucleotides) under Homo sapiens (human). Its description in RNAcentral is "HSALNT0322172". Lineage: Eukaryota; Metazoa; Chordata; Mammalia; Primates; Hominidae. The record is from RNAcentral.
GUCCGACCCUGGGUCUCCCGCAGGCCCCUCUGGUAGUCCUCUUCCCACCCGCCGCCUCGGGCUGCGCCGCAGCCGCCACCGCCGCAACCUCCAGCACCGCCGCCCCAGUCCCCGCAGCCGCCGCGUCGCCGCCAUUUUUUAAAGGGUCCGCAGCCUGAUGCUGCCGAGUAAGGGGGGGUGGGGCGGCUGAGUCGGCCUCGCCAGUGCGCAUGCGCGAGGCCCGAGUCGCCGCUUGGAUCACAGUGACCGCCACCGUUGCCCGGGGAUGGGUCCCUGAGACUUUGCGAAGUAGGAGCCCUGUGUGAUCGUGCGUCAGAGUCGGGGCUGAGACCAGUCCUGGCCAGGGCAGUUACCAGGACGGUCUCCGGAGGCCGGGAUUCGCGGAGGGUCCACCAGCAGGAAGAAACGCCAGAAGGAAGAAACCUCAGACAGAUCGCCGGGGAGGCAGCGCGGGAUCCCAGCCUCAGGCGUGCGCGGACGGUGUGCGGGAAGGGAGUGUAUCCUGGUGUAUGACAGCAUAUAGUAGAGACCAGUGUCAAUUAGGGCCUGUGAACUGAGACAGGGUGACUGGCUAAGUCCACAACCCAUUAGAAACCCAGAAAUAAUCAAAUCAUGGCUCCUCCUUGAGUUAUUGGGAAUAAGUAAUGCUUCUCAAUAAAGCUUCGUGUCAACAAAUCUGAACAUAUAACAUCUCAGCUAGAGCAAGUUACUAAAAAUAGGCUCAAUUUGUACCUUGCAGUCAUGCCUUCAUAACCACUUUUCAAUUAAUCCUGCUUAAUUCAGAGAAUGUAUAAAUAUGUAAUUUUGCAUCACUUUUAAGGCAGCCAUUUUAUUUUGAAAUGCAACUAACAUUAUAUGCAUAAAUUCAAUAAAUAUAAAGCUGUUUUC